CAUAGUAAAGUGCCAAUGAAAAAUAUUCUUUUAAUUGCCUUUUUUCCUGUACAAUUUUGAAAUAUGCUUCUAAACAUAAUUUAUAUAAAAUCUAGUCAUGUAACAGUUCACAUUAGAAUCUUAUGUACAUUUAAAUUGGUCUGUAUUAUCAAUGCACAAUUAGAACUUGAGUCUAACAUUUUCAAUUACUUUUUUCAUUGAACUCUACUCCGAAAGAACUACCAGUAUACUAAAUUGAGUUUUUUUCCCUUGUCCUUCAGAUCAUUGUUAUGUAUUUACAAGUCUUAGAAUGUGAACGUAAUCAAACCCUGGUUCAAACUGCCUGGUAAGUCACUUUUUUAGAUUUCUUUCCUAGCCAGGAAAACAGAAGCAGAAAUAAAGUAAGUUUCGUUUUCCCUUUCCAAAAUAAUGAGAUAAGUUUGUUUGGGGCUUUUCGUUGUUUUUUUGUUUUGUUUUUUUAACCAAAAGGUAAAUAAUGCUUAUUUCUGCUUCCUGUUUUCUUGGCUUGACUAAUUACUUUUAAUGGAGAACUCAAUUUAACUUUGUUCUUUUUUCUACUCUUUAAUUAAAGGGUAGUCCAUGAUGGUAAGUCAUAGAACUCUGCCCUCUGCACUUCAGCCCAUGACCUCAGGAUGGCCUGAUUGGCUACCCUGCUCUCCAGCCAAUCCAGUGCAAGCUCUCAUCCGAGAUUCACUGAAGUGGUCCAUAUCCAUCUGGCAGCAUCUUCUAGUUCUGUCGGGGUGUCAAAAGGAUUUGUAUAUUUGCUUCUAGAAGUAACUAUUUGACAUGCCUAUGUAUUUAAUGUAUACUUGUAACUAUCAAAAUGAAUAGUUCAUUUUUGAUAGAUUUGUUGUGCAGCCAUUAUGAAUUAAAUGGUUUCUUAUUAGGAGUUUGACUAAAUUUUUAUUUUUAGUGUGUAUAGCAUGAAUACUACCAAAGGAGACGACAAACUUGCAGCUUAAAAUGGGCACCAGUUCCCACACUGGCUUAAUUUAUAUAACUGCUUGGCUGUAUUGCGGGUAAUAAUAUUAGAAGCAAGAAGCACUUCAUUUUUAAAAGAGAUGUUACUAUAAUAUUGCUUAAAUGCUUUAGCACUUGGACUUCUUGAGAUGCAGAUGUGUGAUUUGGAGUGCUGGCUUAUUUAAAGGUCAAGCCAAGGAGUUUGUGGUUCAGCCACAACUACUGUUUCCUAAGACUAUUGAUGUGAAGGACUUAGUGAAGUAAUUUUUAUAUUCUGGGCUUCCCAGCAAGAUGUCCUUUUUAUGACUGCCAUGCUUCUUUUGGAUUCAGUAAAUAUUUGUAAUGUUAGAAAAGUCUCAUUAUUUUUAUAAAAUGCAUGACAUUUUAAGUAUGUGUUGCAUAAAAUGGAUUAUAGCAGUUCUCAUGGUUUAGGAUUUUUAAGAAAUAGUCCAUUUAAUUUCAGCUUAACCUUUUAAAUGAUCUGUAAAAUUUCUUUGAUAGUUUAGGAAUGUUGUGGGGAGGGUUCAUUAAUAAAAGUUCAGCAAUUUUUUAACUGAAAUAGUUUAUCUCUUUUACCUAGUCACAAAAAAGGUAUGUAAACAAGGCCAUUAUAUGUGUUUAUUGCUCUUUAUUUCCCUAUCUAGAUUUUCUAAGUAUCUUAGCUUUCUUAAUAUAAGUUUAACUUGGUACUUACUGAAAAUGCCUUUUUACCCCUGUUAACGGUAUUUUGAGCUUUUGGAAAGAACUUGGUUGACACUGCUUUUAUUGUGGAUAAAGGAGAGAUGGUCAGUAAUUAAUGGCUUGAAGUAUUAUUGGAGUGGUUUAUCAUUUCUGAAACUAAUCGUGUCAGAAUUGACUUUGAAAAGCAUUGCUUUUUACAGAAAUAUAUUAACUUUUUAGGAGUAAUUUCUAGUUUGGAUUGUAAUACGAAAUAAUUUAAAAGGGCUUCGCUCAUAUAUAGGAAAAUCGCAUAUGGUCCUAGUAUUAAAUUCUUAUUGCUUACUGAUUUUUUUGAGUUAAGAGUUGUUAUAUGCUAGAAUAUGAGGAUGUGAAUAUAAAUAAGAGAAGAAAAAAGAAUAAAGUAGAUUGAGUCUCCAAUUUUAUGUAAGCUUCAGAAGAACUGGUUUGUUUACAUGCAAGCUUAUAGUUGAAAUAUUUUUCAGGAAUUACAUGAAUGACAGUCUUCGAACCAAUGUGUUUGUUCGAUUUCAACCAGAGACUAUAGCAUGUGCUUGCAUCUACCUUGCAGCUAGAGCACUUCAGGUAGGUGUAUAUUUCCCAUUUUGUUCUGUAGGAUAAAUCACACAAAUUUUCGGUGGUUCCAAUACAGAUUUAGCAAAAAUUUAAUUUAAAACAUUCUGUUCUUAUGGUUUAGAUUCCGUUGCCAACUCGUCCCCAUUGGUUUCUUCUUUUUGGUACUACAGAAGAGGAAAUCCAGGAAAUCUGCAUAGAAACACUUAGGCUUUAUACCAGAAAAAAGGUAUUCUCUAUUUACUCGUUUGUGCCAACAUGCUAAGAGUCCAAGCUACUCUAAGGAAGAAAUACUAACUUUUUUUUUCCUCCAACAGCCAAACUAUGAAUUACUGGAAAAAGAAGUAGAAAAAAGAAAAGUAGCCUUACAAGAAGCCAAAUUAAAAGCAAAGGGAUUGAAUCCGGAUGGAACUCCAGCCCUUUCAACCCUGGGUGGAUUUUCUCCAGCUUCCAAGCCAUCAUCACCAAGAGAAGUAAAAGCUGAAGAGAAAUCACCAAUCUCCAUUAAUGUGAAGACAGUCAAAAAAGAACCUGAGGAUAGACAACAGGCUUCCAAAAGCCCUUACAAUGGUGUAAGAAAAGACAGCAAGAGAAGUAGAAAUAGCAGAAGUGCAAGUCGAUCGAGGUCAAGAACACGAUCACGUUCUAGAUCACAUACUCCAAGAAGACACUAUAAUAAUAGGCGGAGUCGAUCUGGAACAUACAGCUCGAGAUCAAGAAGCAGGUCCCGCAGUCACAGUGAAAGCCCUCGAAGACAUCAUAAUCAUGGUUCUCCUCACCUUAAGGCCAAGCAUACCAGAGAUGAUUUAAAAAGUUCAAACAGACAUGGUCAUAAAAGGAAAAAAUCUCGUUCUCGAUCUCAGAGCAAGUCUCGGGAUCACUCAGAUGCAGCCAAGAAACACAGGCAUGAAAGGGGACAUCAUAGGGACAGGCGUGAACGAUCUCGCUCCUUUGAGAGGUCCCAUAAAAGCAAGCACCAUGGUGGCAGUCGCUCAGGACAUGGCAGGCACAGGCGCUGACUUUCUCUUCCUUUGAGCCUGCAUCAGUUCUUGGUUUUGCCUAUCUACAGUGUGAUGUAUGGACUCAAUCAAAACAUUAAACGCAAACUGAUUAGGAUUUGAUUUCUUGAAACCCUCUAGGUCUCUAGAACACUGAGGACAGUUUCUUUUGAAAAGAACUAUGUUAAUUUUUUUGCACAUUAAAAUGCCCUAGCAGUAUCUAAUUAAAAACCAUGGUCAGGUUCAAUUGUACUUUAUUAUAGUUGUGUAUUGUUUAUUGCUAUAAGAACUGGAGCGUGAAUUCUGUAAAAAUGUAUCUUAUUUUUAUACAGAUAAAAUUGCAGACACUGUUCUAUUUAAGUGGUUAUUUGUUUAAAUGAUGGUGAAUACUUUCUUAACACUGGUUUGUCUGCAUGUGUAAAGAUUUUUACAAGGAAAUAAAAUACAAAUCUUGUUUUUUCUAAA
This 3674-nucleotide small RNA is filed under the name Pan troglodytes (chimpanzee). RNAcentral describes it as "retained intron". The record is from RNAcentral. Lineage: Eukaryota; Metazoa; Chordata; Mammalia; Primates; Hominidae.